UCCGGUUUGUCACCGGCAGUUUCCUAAGAGUGCGCCUCUUGCGAGGGUGGCAACAUAGGAUAAGGGUUGCGCUCGUUGCGGGACUUAACCCAACAUCUCACGACACGAGCUGACGACAACCAUGCAGCACCUCUACUAGCUCCCUUGCGGGUCAUUCCUGUUUCCAGGUUUUACCACUAGCUCUUCAAGCCCAGGUAAGGUUUUUCGUGUUGCGUCGAAUUAAACCACAUACUCCACCGCUUGUGCGGGCCCCCGUCAAUUCCUUUGAGUUUUAGCCUUGCGGCCGUACUCCCCAGGCGGGGCACUUAAUGCGUUAGCGUCGGCACGGGAGGAGUCGACACCUCCCACACCUAGUGCCCAUCGUUUACAGCGUGGACUAC
This 380-nucleotide unclassified non-coding RNA is filed under the name uncultured bacterium. Its description in RNAcentral is "contains 16S-23S intergenic spacer region". The record is from RNAcentral.